This 253-nucleotide ribosomal RNA is filed under the name uncultured bacterium. RNAcentral's name for it is "partial 16S ribosomal RNA". It matches the Rfam family "Bacterial small subunit ribosomal RNA", at positions 524 to 776 of the family's 1533-position model. The record is from RNAcentral.
UACGUAGGGUGCGAGCGUUAAUCGGAAUUACUGGGCGUAAAGGGUGCGCAGGUGGGUUUGCAAGUUCGAUGUGAAAGCCCCGGGCUUAACCCGGGAAUGGCAUUGGAUACUGCAGAUCUGGAGGAUCGGAGGGGGGACUGGAAUUCCUGGUGUAGCAGUGAAAUGCGUAGAUAUCAAGAGGAACACCAGUGGCGAAGGCGAGUCCCUGGACGAUACCUGACACUGAGGCACGAAAGCUAGGGGAGCAAACAGG